RNAcentral lists this unclassified non-coding RNA (3914 nucleotides) under Leishmania donovani. RNAcentral's name for it is "gene:LdHU3.32.4340(CDS-product:hypothetical_prote in_conserved)". The record is from RNAcentral. Lineage: Eukaryota; Euglenozoa; Kinetoplastea; Trypanosomatida; Trypanosomatidae.
UCAUUGAAGCACAAGCGCGCUUCCCUCACUCCUUGCCUUCGCGCCACCUGAGCCCUCCCUUGAAGUCUUCUGCGUGUGCCGCCACAGGAGAGGGGGCAGCGUAGCGUCCCUUUAUUUCUUUUUGUGUUUCCGGCCCGAGCACACGUGUACACACGCGCACACAAGUUCUAUCCGUCUGAUCCCCUCCCCUGCGCACACAUACGCAGACCAGCCUCGAUGUGCGCAUGCGUGUUUACUUCAUCAAAUGCCGCGGAUCCAGCUGCAGUCCGUCAACCACUUUUCUGCAUGGCUGCACAAUGAGAUCUUGACCGAGGUGCCAUUCGGCCUGUCCCUGCGGCUGCGUCCUCUAACGAUGCAGGCGUCCACAGCUGUCUCAGGGGACGGAUUUGUGUUGGCGAGACCUCACGUAGGACACUUAAUUGCAUCUUUGACCGCAGAGACGUCGCGGCUGCCAGCAGCGCUUGCGACCGACGACGGCGGCGCAGCAGAGGCUGUAGAGCAGGAGGCUGCAGAGGUGUCACGCUCCCUGUCGGGGCGCGUCCCUUCCACCAUCGACUGGUACGCGUUUUUUCUGAAAACGUUGCUGCACCUCACCAGCACAAACGGGUCUCAUCUUCGCUGCACCGGUGCAUCUUCCUCGCCAUCUUCUCCGACGUGCGUUGUGGCAGCGACGGACGGGGUGGGCCGCAAGACCGCUCUCUACGCAGCGAUGCUGUCGCACUGCGCGGAGUGGUGGGACGCUGGCAGGGCGAUGCGGUCCACCAGCGCACUUCUCUGGCACCACAGCCCGCCAAUGCAACGGGCAGUGUCGCUGCGCAGGCCGUUUGUCUUCUUCGAUGAGACGUCAGAGGCAGCGGGACGUCUCGCCGACCCAUCGAGACUUAGCGGAAGAGACAGCGCCGAUGUCGGCGCCCGCCGACGCUUGCUGCGCGUACUGCGCCUCCUCAGCGCUCGCGGGGGCUGGCAGCUCUGUGUGCGGCGCUCUCCCCGCGGCGGCGCUGCUCGCGCCGUUAGCACCACCUCUUCUACGCUGCUGCAUCAGGAGGAUGAGGAGUCGGUGUACGUGGACUGGCUCGACUACCUCACAGAGCGAUGCGUGGAAGUGGACUUGCGGCCAGCUGGAGAUUACGAUGACUUUGAGUCUCUGCUGCGAGGCACCGCAUCACACGUGUGGCUCGGCAGUAGCUCCACGGCCCACUCCACACCCAUCACCACAUCGUCAGCGCGCACGAGGAGUUGCGGCUGCGCGGGCGGCGGAAAUACCGGCUUCGCGUGCGCCGUGCCCGAUGCCUUUGUCCCUCUUAGCGCUGUGCUGUGGCACGUUCUGUCCACCGAGGUGGAAGGCACUGUACUGGAAACCUUGCACGGACUGCUGCGCCAGUAUCUGUGCUGGCCCUUUCUUGCUCCCCCUGACCGCGCCGGAGAUCCGUUGACGACGCGCAGGGGUGACGUGACCAGCAUCUUGGGGUACGCAUACCACGCGCUGCAGACGCUGGUUCACACACCAGAGCAGGCGUUUGCAUGUGAGUUGAUGCACUUUGACCGGAAUGGCGCCGCUUCCAGCACGGCGUCAGCGCUGCCGCCGCCCCUGGCAGGCCCCGUCACGCUCUCCUGCAUGAUGCCCAACAGCUUUUGUCUCGCACCACUCGCCUGCGACAGCGCUGCCUCGCGCUUCUUCCUUCAAGGACCCCCUGCGUCGGUGGCGCCUGACGGCAUGGUACUGCGUCGGCAUCCACUUCGUGUGUUGCUGCUGCGCGUCGACCCAGAAGGCGGCUGGCUGCCAUCGCCAGAGACGUUGGCCAGCCAGCGCACGCUCCACGCCUCAUUUGAUGCACAGAGGGGCGAAGCGUGUGACGGCGACGAAGGUUGUGAAGAUGACGACAACGAGAUGGACGACGACUUUGCAUUAUGGGAGGCCCGUGGAGCAGGCAAACGGACUGUGGCGCGCCCGGGCGCAGUUGCGCCUGGACAGAGAACGGCUGUCACCUCGCUGCCAUCGCCCUCCCUUUGUGCGGAUCGCUCCCCCACAGAGGAUCGAGUGGUAUCUAUGCUGACGGCGCAUGUCAUCCGUAGGGGGCCCUUCGCGCAAGCGGUCACGUCGACCCGCAACCUUGAUCAAUGCCUCUGGCUUGCUGCAAUACGGCUGUUUGUCUACGCACUCCUCCACGACGUGCGUGUGGUUGUCACCCCGGAGAGACUGCCCACCUUUGUGAAGGUGUUCGGCUACCGCCACCUUCCUCAGCUGCACCAGCGACUCUGCGAGAUUCGAGGGGCGCUGAGGGAAGCUGCAGCAGACGACGGUACCUUGUUGUUCUUUGAAGACGCCGCCGACGCCGUCACGAGAGCUGCUGCGGUUUCGCUGCUGGACGCGGCGUGCCAGCGUGAGCCGCCGAUUGCCGUGUACGUUGUGGACCAGGUCUCCCUGAGCGGCUUCUCGAGGCUUCAAGCGAGGAGCAGGGUUUCGGAGACGACCAGCGCUGAUCGUGUUGUACCCUCGGCGCCCUCUUCUCUGCCGCUCCCCCCGGUAGUGUUGUGCUGCGAUGUGCUGCGCCAUCCGUGCAGCUUCGACGAAGCAUGCGGCUCGAGUCGACCUAGCGGCAUCUGUGAGGUUGCUCACUGCGGGGUGCUCGACGUGAUAGAGCUGUGCCAUAUUUCUGCCCUCUUGCUGCAGUCGCAACACUCCCCAUGCUCUGCAGAGAAGUUCGCGGUGAGGUGCGCUGCAGUGGUUGCCUCGGAAGAAGGGGGCGAGUCCCGGCUGUACGACGGCCGUGUGUUCAUUGCGGCGCUGCACCCUAUAGUCACACCUUCUUUGACCGAUGCAGAUGAUCGCUUCCGCACACAAACUGGUGAGCGGGGUGCGGAUCCCCGAGCAAGAUGCGGCGCCGACGCGGACGCCUGGAACGCUGCGGUUGACGAGUCAGAGCUGUGGCAGCCGCUGCUACCUUCUCUUCUUCUCUUGGCUCCGAUUCAGCAGCAGACCAUGCUGUACGGGGGACUGCUACGCAAGGCGGCCUUGGCACUGCUGGAGGCGCUACCGAGCCCUUGUACAAGUGAGACCGAUAUAUCGACUUCUAUGCGAGACACAACUCGCACUGCCCGUACAAGUAUUCCCGGUGCCGUUCGCGGCGGCGGCGCUUUCUUCGUGUCUCUGGCGAGACAGGCACGGUGGUUAAUGCGGCGGCUCUCGCUGUCGCCGGCCUGUGCCGAUGCCGCGGCGACGCUCGCAGGUGUGGGCGUCGCGGGUUCGAGACCUUUCGCAUCCCCUGAAGCCGUUUCCUGGGGCAUCGGCGUUGCUCCGCAGGACCACGCCACAAUACGCUUCGUGCUGGCAAUCCUGUGCGAGUCGUGUGCAGCGAUGGUGACUCGACUAGCGGAGCCGCUGAUUGAGAGGAGCGCCGCAUCGGGACUUGCAUUGUCUCCACUGUGCAGUGCCCGAACCUCUCCGCCUCCUCGUGGACCGCAUGCCCGACGGCGAUUGUGGGUCGAGGCCCUCCGCGCUGCUGUCGAGUCAUCUUCGACGGUACCCGGCCAACCUGUGCUGCACGCCUACCACGAAAACGUGGACGUGAUGCUCUCGGAAGCGGCGAACGGCACUGUUUUCGACGCGUGCCUUGGCGCGCCAACGCUACACGAGCGCGCUAUGCAGUGGUUUGCCUCUGACCGCCGGCUCUCCUCCUCCACUUCACAAUCCGGCGCGAACGACGACGCUUGCGUGCACCGUGGCGGCUGCGCCACGGAGCCGCCAUUGCCCACCCAUCUUUUUCUGGAGCCUCUGCACACAAACGCGCGCGCCGUGCGGGAAGCUGUCGCGCUCGUGCUGCGUACGCUCUCUGCUACCGUACCCUAAUACUACUUGGUUUGCAUGCCGGCGCGAGCGUGGAACCUUGAGUAAGGCGAGAAGAGCUCGCGCACAG